UACGGAAGGCAGCAGUGGGGAAUAUUGCACAAUGGGCGAAAGCCUGAUGCAGCUAUGCCGCGUGUAUGAAGAAGGCCUUAGGGUUGUAAAGUACUUUCAUCGGGGAGGAAAAACAAAACUAAUAAUUUUAUUUCUUGACGUUACCCGAAAAAGAAGCACCGGCUAACUCCGUGCCAGCAGCCGCGGUAAUACGGAGGGUGCUAGCGUUAAUCAGAAUUACUGGGCGUAAAGAGCACGUAGGUGGUUUUUUAAGUCAGAUGUGAAAUCCCUGGGCUUAACCUAGGAACUGCAUUUUGAAAACUGAAAUACUAGAGUAUCGUAGAGGGAGGUAGAAUUCUAGGUGUAGCGGUGAAAUGCGUAGAUAUCUGGAGGAAUACCUGUGGCGAAAAGCGGCCUCCUAAACGAAUACUGACACUGAGGGUGCGAAAAGCGUGGGGAGCAAAACAGGGAUUAGAUACC
Molecule: ribosomal RNA, 459 nt
Filed under: uncultured bacterium
Lineage: Bacteria
Description: bacterial SSU rRNA
Rfam family: Bacterial small subunit ribosomal RNA
Source: RNAcentral